GGCCUAAUUGAGAUAGCUGAGCCCAAAGCAAAGGAACAUGAAGCAGUGUGAAGCUCACUUCGUUCUUCCUCACACUCACUCUCGAGAAUGCACCGAAGAAAAGCCGCACCGGUUCUUCACCGGCGGCGGUGAUUCACAAUCUCCCACGCUCUCACACCUCUGACGUCUCUCUUAACCGAAACGUAACACCUCUCCACCUACACCAAAACGGAAUCUCCAACACGCGACUUCGACAGAACAAUACGAGCGGCGAAUGAAAGAAAGAAGCAGACUCGACCACGAUUCACAUCAGAACAGAUGAAUGGAUAACACGGAAGGAAGAAAUUCCUACCGGCGACGGCAACGGUGGAUCGAAGCUCUUGGAUCUUGAAGCUUUGCCCGAUCCUACAGUUCUUUUCCUGUGUCACUAAUCUCUUUCUUGAGGUCUGGAUUAACGGAGGAUUCGUAGGUGUCGCGCGGUGGUUGAUGGUAAUGCAUCCAAGAACAGGUUCAUAGUCAAACGAAAAGGCUUAUGUGUGCGCAUUGGAAUGGUUUGGCUUAUGCAACUUGGAUGCUAUGGAUUUGGUUUCUUGGACUUGCUUUGGUUUGAAAUGGGAUUUUCUUGGUGAAAGAAAUUGGACAUUGCUUGCAUAUGGAAUGUUAGAGUCUUGAUUAUGUUGUAGUUUAAAUUGAACGAGGAAUGUUAGCCUAUGAUUGUAAUGUAAUUGGAAAUGGAAUUUGUAUGAAAUGUUUGGAAAUUAAAUGCAUUUGAAAUGAAUGCUAUAAUUUUGAA
Lathyrus oleraceus (garden pea) is the source of this 772-nucleotide long non-coding RNA. RefSeq lists it as uncharacterized. NCBI's taxonomy places the organism in Eukaryota, Viridiplantae, Streptophyta, Magnoliopsida, Fabales, Fabaceae. The transcript is spliced from 2 exons. The record is from RefSeq and is a predicted model, not a curated record.